Molecule: long non-coding RNA, 1043 nt
Filed under: Sus scrofa (pig)
Lineage: Eukaryota; Metazoa; Chordata; Mammalia; Artiodactyla; Suidae
Description: lncRNA (ENSSSCG00050007599.1)
Source: RNAcentral
GUGACCGCUUUUGUUUCAGAACAGUCGGUCUGCAGCCCUUCUUUCUCUGAACCGGCCGCGUCCUCUCCAAGCGGAGCCUGAUCACUCCUGUUGGAGAAACAGCGCGCGCUCCGGGCGGGGGCCGGGUCCCGGAGAAGUGUGGGUGUCGGGGACGCGCCCGCAAGCCCGCCCCGGCCCUCACCGCGCCGGGCUUGCUGCCCGCCCUUGACGUCCCGGAGCAGAGACAGAGGACCCUCCCCGGGUGCGCCGUCCUGUGAGAGGCGAAGCUGGACGGGAUGGCAGUGCUCCUGCGAAGCCCCGUGAGACUGCGCAGCACUGCCUCCUGCAUCCGGAGACAAAGCACCUUGCAGGCAUCGAGCCGGAGCGUCACGGCCCACCGUGAACCUGGGGGCUCAGGGUGGAAACCUCAUGCCCACCACGAAGGGGGUUGGGAGGAGGAGGGCAGCCGCCGGCCCGGAGCGCGGGGGCGCGCCAAAGAGACGGUUGCAGUGCGGCCAGACCUCGCGUCUCCCCACGCAGACGAGUGCGCAGCACCGUCGCCUGCAUGUCUGAUUUUCUCGAAUUAGCAGUGAUUUUUUGAUGUUCUGACUUCCUGGUCUUUGUUGCCAAAAACUCCUGUACAUCCUGGCUCCCCACUUGCCUCUCAGGCGCGGUCUCUCAGAUGGACCUGAGAUGCCGUGUCCUGGGCUCAAAGCCUGUUUUGUCCCCCAAAUAAAACAAAGAUCUCAACUUGUAGGUCAUGUAUUUUUUCCAGUGGCCACCUGUACCAAGGGGCGGUGUGUGCAGGGCAGUGUGCACAGGGCAGUAUACACAGCAGCCCGGAGCCGGUUCCAGUCCCAGGGCUGCUGCUCCUUGUGGAAACGUGCCUGAGAAACUCGGACUUACAGGCCAUGAGGCACAGAAAAGCAGGGCCAAGACUCAGGAACCCCCACUAGUGGCGUCUGAUGAGGGUGCAGGUGUCUGGUCGAGGCGUGAGGUGCCAGCAGGGGCAGCUGCUGGGCUGUGGACGAGGAGGGUCCAGGUCCGGCCAUGCAGCCCCGCGG